GACGAACGCUGGCGGCGUGCCUAAUACAUGCAAGUUGAGCGCUGAAGGUUGGUACUUGUACCAACUGGAUGAGCAGCGAACGGGUGAGUAACGCGUGGGGAAUCUGCCUUUGAGCGGGGGACAACAUUUGGAAACGAAUGCUAAUACCGCAUAAAAACUUUAAACACAAGUUUUAAGUUUGAAAGAUGCAAUUGCAUCACUCAAAGAUGAUCCCGCGUUGUAUUAGCUAGUUGGUGAGGUAAAGGCUCACCAAGGCGAUGAUACAUAGCCGACCUGAGAGGGUGAUCGGCCACAUUGGGACUGAGACACGGCCCAAACUCCUACGGGAGCAGCAGUAGGGAAUCUUCGGCAAUGGACGAAAGUCUGACCGAGCAACGCCGCGUGAGUGAAGAAGGUUUUCGGAUCGUAAAACUCUGUUGGUAGAGAAGAACGUUGGUGAGAGUGGAAAGCUCAUCAAGUGACGGUAACUACCCAGAAAGGGACGGCUAACUACGUG
Molecule: ribosomal RNA, 496 nt
Filed under: uncultured bacterium
Lineage: Bacteria
Description: partial 16S ribosomal RNA
Rfam family: Bacterial small subunit ribosomal RNA
Source: RNAcentral